AUCCUACGGGGGGCAGCAGUAGGGAAUCUUCCACAAUGGGCGAAAGCCUGAUGGAGCAACGACGCGUGGGUGAAGAAGGUCUUCGGAUCGUAAAACCCUGUUGUUAGAGAAGAAAGUGCGUGAGAGUAACUGUUCACGAUUCGACGGUAUCUAACCAGAAAGCAACGGCUAACUACGUGCCAGCAGCCGCGGUAAUACGAAGGUGGCAAGCGUUAUCCGGAGUUAUUGGGCGUAAAGGGAACGCAGGCGGUCUUUUAAGUCUGAUGUGAAAGCAUUCGUCUUAACCGGAGUAGUGCAUUGGAAAA
Molecule: ribosomal RNA, 305 nt
Filed under: uncultured bacterium
Lineage: Bacteria
Description: bacterial SSU rRNA
Rfam family: Bacterial small subunit ribosomal RNA
Source: RNAcentral